Molecule: long non-coding RNA, 380 nt
Organism: Dreissena polymorpha
Lineage: Eukaryota; Metazoa; Mollusca; Bivalvia; Myida; Dreissenidae
Exons: 2
Source: RefSeq, a predicted model, not a curated record
UGUUCACAUUACGAGAACAAAUACGUCAAAAUGAUUGUGCGUCCCAUUCGUGACUUUCCAAUAGACCAUAAUUCCUUUUCGAGUUGGUGACUUCCGGUUUCCGGUCUCGCGAAUUAUUUUUUGGACAAAAGAAACAGAGAAACAUUGCGUACUUGAUAUCCGAUGGAUCCUUCUCCUCCCAUCAACCGCUCACCACGGAUUUCAGGAGGCUACAAAGGAACAGUUUAGCAGACCCGCAGCUUUUAUGCCAUUAAUUAUUGACACAGACUUUAACCCUUAUUUUAGUGACUUGCUUGACACGAACGAAAAAAAGUUAGAAAUUUAUAUUUAUGUUGAACUUGAAAAUGCUAUUAAAUGUUCAUAGAUGACACAACUAAUGA